UUCCGUAGGUGAACCUGCGGAAGGAUCAUUACAUUCAG
This 38-nucleotide ribosomal RNA is filed under the name Neosetophoma sp. AK-2017a. RNAcentral describes it as "partial 18S ribosomal RNA". The record is from RNAcentral. Lineage: Eukaryota; Fungi; Ascomycota; Dothideomycetes; Pleosporales; Phaeosphaeriaceae.